Cronartium quercuum f. sp. fusiforme G11 is the source of this 91-nucleotide non-coding RNA. NCBI's taxonomy places the organism in Eukaryota, Fungi, Basidiomycota, Pucciniomycetes, Pucciniales, Coleosporiaceae. The record is from the annotation of a GenBank genome assembly.
GUCCAGAUAGCCUAGUGGUUAAAGGUAGCACAUCUAGCAUUGUGUCUUAGCUUACAUGCUGAGGUCCUGGGUUCAAAUCCACAUCUGGUCA